Molecule: long non-coding RNA, 851 nt
Filed under: Nicotiana benthamiana
Lineage: Eukaryota; Viridiplantae; Streptophyta; Magnoliopsida; Solanales; Solanaceae
Description: long non-coding RNA (NBEN_LNC010854)
Source: RNAcentral
UAGGUGAAAGAAUAAUUUCUACUGUGCAUUUAUUUACAGUUGGUCACGUGCUGAACAAGCACUACAAUGGACAGCUGUAUGAAAUCGAACGGUCCUAACUAAAUCAAACAUAAUUUGAUGAAUGGUCUUGAUCUUUAGAUGGGCUUUGCACUUGGACGGCUGAGAUGCAAUUCUUCAUUAAAGAGAAAAUAAGAAAAGUCUUUAACCAAACCAAAAUCUGUAUCUGCUUCGUUAAGACCAAAGUUCACUGGGUUACAUCUUUGGUCUCCUCUUCUUCUUCCUCUAAAGUUCUUUCAGCCAUGGCGUCUAGUAGUACAGCUCCAACAAGAGCAACGUGAGGAAUUGUUUGUACGCUUUUACCGUCAGGCUCUAAAUCGAGAAUAUAGAGCGCAAAAUCACAGAGAACUUGGAAAGCAAAUUAAUCAAAAGGAAGUCGCAUAAAAGUGAGUAAAGGAAGGUAAGCAAUGCAUCAUUUCAUGGAAUGAUGAGGAAAGUAAUAGCUUGUGGUAGAAUCUAGCAAUGAAACUAAUUCUUACCGAUUUAUCAUAACAUUCUUGUAAUUUUCAUCUUGUUGACUGUUGUUUUCCCCUUGAUCCAGACUCUAUUAUGUUAGUUUUAUAUGGAAAGAAUUUUCUAUAAUCCAAAAAAUACAUUCAAUUUCGACGACCCGUUGUAAUGUCAUCAAUCAUUGCAACUUUAGUAACCCAUUGUAAUGUCAUCAAUCAUUGCAACUUUAGUAACCCAUUGUAAUGUCAUCAACCCUUGCAACCUUACCUUUCAUUAAUUAGUUACUUUAGGUUUUUCUUCUUAAUCUGUAUAAUAAGGUAUUUAAAAGGGGUAAAAUAGUAAUU